RNAcentral lists this non-coding RNA (21 nucleotides) under Arabidopsis thaliana (thale cress). The record is from RNAcentral. Lineage: Eukaryota; Viridiplantae; Streptophyta; Magnoliopsida; Brassicales; Brassicaceae.
UCCCCUGCAUUGACGCUACUA